AGAGCGGAGGGNGAGCCGAUAAGAACCAGCUCAGGGCUGGGGCGCAGUGCUGGGAGCGGAACCCUGGGUAGGGAACGCACGUGAGUGCACGUCUUCUGCAUGGGGCCGGCGACUUUGGGUGUCUGGANGCCAGGGGGUUCCCCGAUUGUCCCGGGGCUACGUGGUCUGCUUCCCAAAGUCCCAGCUGACUGAGAUCAACUCCCACACUCCCUUCCGCAGGCUGGCCAGCUGGGACUUGGCAAGACUUCAGCUCCCCUUGGUCCCGCAUGGCUUGGCUGGGGUGGGAAAGGAAACUAUUUUUGGACCACACUUUGAUGUCAACUCAGCAAGGCAGGGCCAGAAAGCCCCACUUCAGCGCNGGCUGGGGCCCGUUGGUAUGGAAGACUAAAACACAGGCAUGAAGGUGGAAAGCAGGGGAUUUAGCACGGUACGAUGGCAACCGGACCUUGUGAGGUNCUGCAUGCGGCUGAAGAAAGCCAAGACGCCCUAAAUGAGAUGCCAAUUCAGAAAGAAGCCAUUCAGAAGCAGCUGAAAGAGGACAGGCAAGAAGAUGCUACAAUUUCUGCAGCUAAAGAAGAGGUAAACAGCACCCCAAACGGAAUAGAGGCGCACCGACUUCACGUCGUUGAGCAGGAUUUGGAGGAGUUUGUGGACAGCGUGACUGAGACCGCCCCACCCGGUCUUUCCGAGAAGUUACCAGAACCAGAAGCACCUCUGGUGCCGGAGAAGGCACCCGCCAAAUUGCCUCGCGCCGAGCAAAUUGCCGAACGGGUCCUGAGAGCCGAGAAGGUGGCAGACAGGGCACCACGGAUGGAAAAGCCGCCGCCCGCGGCAGAGAAAGCAGCGGAAAAGUUGCCACGGGCGGAGAAGGCCACGCGGGCGGAGAAGACGUCUGAAAAAUCACGGCCGGCGGGUUCUGCAGCCCCCAAAACAGCCUCCGUGAAAAGGAAAGGCGAGGGUCGUGGUUCCGGAUCAGCAAAAGACAGGCUCCCGUGGGAGGGCCUCACCCUGAACAAAUGCCUCCUCGUGGCCUCCUGCCUCGCCCUCCUCAGCGUGAGCUGCCAAGUGGUGCAAGACGUAAUAGAGUACAGCGAGGAAUUUCUNGAGGCCCAGCUGAGCAUGUGGACCGCGCAAGAAGGCAUCGCUGGGGAAACGGAUGAGCUGUGGUUUUACGAGCGUUGGUUCGACUGGUCNGACGAACCGCCUGAUGUCGAACUGGAUGAAGAGGAGCAAAUGAUAGAUAUCGAGGAGGAGGAGCCGCUGGAAGAAGAGGAAGAGCCUGAAGAGGAAGCUGGGGAGGAAGAGGAGCCNGCAGAGNAGGGGGAGGAGGAAGANGAGGAGGCGGAGCUAGCAGAGGAGGAGGUGGAGCUAGCAAAGAAGCCAGCGGUUAGAGUGAAAAGUAGAAAGAGCUGGGAGAAACCCACCAAGAGAGAGAGGGAGAAGCCCUCCAAAGGCAAAGGUCUCCGGGGUCAUAAGGCUGCUGAGGAUGAGGAGGAGGAGGAGGAGGAAGAAGAGGAAGAGGAAGAAUCAAAAGUCGUGCUGCACAAGCGGCAUCGUCGGGAGGGCAAGCAGGAGGAGCGGACGAGCCGCCAUCCCAGACAUGAGCCGGAGGCCAAGCAAAAGCAGCACCUCCUGGGGGAGCGGAAGAGGGCAUCCAAAGACGAGGGCGGCAAAGAGAAGAGCCGCCCUUCCACAAAGCCAGAGAAGGACCCAAAGUCCCGCCAGCCCGACCAUGGGGAGAAGCCACGGCGGGCACGCCGGCCUUUCCUCCCCCUGCAGCAAGACAGGCGCGCUCACAAACCCGGGAAGCGGCAGGAGUGA
Molecule: long non-coding RNA, 1821 nt
Organism: Salvator merianae (Argentine black and white tegu)
Lineage: Eukaryota; Metazoa; Chordata; Lepidosauria; Squamata; Teiidae
Source: Ensembl